UACGUAGGCACCAAGCGUUAUCCGGAUUUAUUGGGCGUAAAGAGCUCGUAGGCGGUUCGGUAAGUCGGGUGUGAAAACUCUGGGCUCAACCCAGAGAGGCCACUCGAUACUGCUGUGACUAGAGUGCGGUAGGGGAGCGGGGAAUUCAUGGUGUAGCGGUGAAAUGCGCAGAUAUCAUGAGGAACACCAGCGGCGAAGGCGCCGCUCUGGGCCGUAACUGACGCUGAGGAGCGAAAGCAUGGGUAGCAAACAGG
Molecule: ribosomal RNA, 254 nt
Filed under: uncultured bacterium
Lineage: Bacteria
Description: partial 16S ribosomal RNA
Rfam family: Bacterial small subunit ribosomal RNA
Source: RNAcentral